Molecule: ribosomal RNA, 969 nt
Filed under: Triticum aestivum (bread wheat)
Lineage: Eukaryota; Viridiplantae; Streptophyta; Magnoliopsida; Poales; Poaceae
Description: partial small subunit ribosomal RNA
Source: RNAcentral
AUGGACACCUCUACUAGGGCGGCCAAGAUCCCCUCCCUCCCCCAACAGACGGAGAUCAACUGGGACAACCUCGACAUGACCAAGCUCUAUGUGGUGGGGGCCGGCAUGUUCAGCUGCGUGACCGUGGCGCUGUACCCAGUCUCCGUGAUCAAGACCCGGAUGCAGGUUGCCUCCGGGGAGGCCAUGAGGAGGAACGCCCUGGCCACCUUCAAGAACAUCCUCAAGGUGGAUGGGGUGCCUGGGCUCUACCGGGGGUUUGGGACCGUCAUCACUGGGGCUAUCCCGGCUAGGAUUAUCUUCCUCACGGCGCUCGAGAAGACAAAGGCGACCUCGCUUAAGCUUGUCGAGCCACUUCAGCUGUCAGAGUCGAUGGAGGCUGCCCUUGCUAAUGGUCUUGGUGGUUUGACGGCGUCUCUGUGCUCGCAGGCCGUGUUUGUGCCCAUUGAUGUGGUUAGCCAGAAAUUGAUGGUUCAAGGAUAUUCUGGUCAUGUCAGAUAUAAGGGUGGAAUAGAUGUUGUUCAAAAGAUUAUGAAGUCUGAUGGGCCACGGGGAUUGUACAGAGGAUUUGGCCUGUCUGUUAUGACGUAUGCACCGUCAAGCGCUGUUUGGUGGGCAAGCUAUGGGUUCAGCCAGCGUAUGAUUUGGAGUGCUCUUGGCCAUUUGAAUGAUAAAGAAGAUACUCCUAGUCAGUUGAAAAUAGUUGGUGUUCAAGCAACAGGGGGAAUGAUUGCUGGGGCAGUGACCUCUUGUGUUUCAACUCCUCUAGAUACAAUCAAAACCAGGCUGCAGGUUAAUCAAAACAAGCCAAAAGCCAGUGAAGUAGUUAGAAGAUUGAUCGCUGAAGAUGGAUGGAAGGGUUUCUACAGAGGAUUAGGUCCAAGAUUUUUCAGCUCAUCUGCUUGGGGUACAUCAAUGAUUGUAUGCUACGAAUACUUAAAGCGCGUAUGUGCUAAAGUUGAAGAGGCCUGA